ACAUAUUCAAGAUAGGAGAAGGUCUAGAUCGACCCUGGGAACGAGGCUAUGUGCCGAUAGCGUUGGCAUAUAGUGGAUCACUGGCUAUUUUGUCCCCGUGCCGUUUGAGAAGCCUCGCUUGUUGUUGGAUUUACGUGAGCCCAGUUUUAAUAUUAAACAGGGCUUCCCCUAACAUGACCACACAGUUCAGCUCAUGGGUGGAUCUUUGUGGUUAUAGGGUCCAUUUAUGGACAGUAUGCUACACUCAUGAUCUAGCAUCAAGGAGGUGGUUUCUGCUCUAAGACCUUUUUAUAUCAUCACCACUUGUCAUAGUUAUCACCAGCCCAGAUGAUGUUGGGCCACAGGUAACUCGCUGGUCAACUUGGUUCAGGUUUAUAAGUUGACCAGACUUUAACUUUGAUUUUCUUUGUGCAUUAAUUUUUCAUUUAUUCAGUCAUUUCUUUUUUUCUUUUCUUUGUUAUAUUUCAUCUGGUGGGUAAACAAGGUAACAAACUUCCCAUAUAUUCUUCUACUUUGUCUCUUUGUAUGCUCAUCUAAGUUCGAUCAAUGAUACACAAAUUUUGUUCCUGUAUCAACAUAAGGCAAGCCCUACUCCUUAUUGCAUAUUGUUUCCCUUUCUCUCUUGACGUGCAAAUUCGUCCUGACAAAUUUGGCAAGGACGUUGCAAAUACGUACUCUUUUGGCAACAUAAAGCGAGCCCCUAUAUGUCUCUCGAACCAGUUCUGUCCCCUUAUCCAAAUAUUUUCUGUAAGAAAUGGCACAAUUCCCGUUUAGAAAACAAGAAAGAGUCUACUGACGCACCUAUCAACUGAUUAAACAAAAAUGCCGACAUGUACUGUAGUGACCGUACAUCAAAUUGCACAGCUCAAAGCUGAUAGGAACAGGAACAUUUCCGAAGGUUGCACAAAUCAAAGAAAUCUGCACGAUUACUACGAACACUUAGUCAAUACGUUAAUGCCAUUUUAUAAUUAAAAGAACUAUGAAAUUGGCAUAAUGUUAUAACACUUAAAAGGUCUCUUGAAUGCAUAAGAGAACGCGAGCCAGGAAUACAUUUCAAGGCUCUUCUUUACAGGACAGAUAGUAUUUUUGUUUCUGGCAGUCGUAAUACCCAACACCAUAAAACAGUAACUAUAUCUAGAAACAAACAGGUAAUUAUAUAUUUGCAGCUUUAUAUUUUCUGGCAGCAGAUAAUGAUGUCUACAUAGCAUUCCAGUCACCAUUGCUAAUUUUUACCAGCUGCCGUGGUACAGUGGUUAGGAUGAUCGCUUUCUACGCUGAGACUGGGAGGUGACACACGGUUCGAAUCCUGUCACCGGCUGUGCUCUCUGAGGUUUUCCCUGGGUUUUCCGAAGACUUUCCAGACGAACGUCGGCACAGUUCCCCCUGAAGUCGGCCCAGGACGCAUACUAACCCCCCCUGUCCCCCACUCCUUCCUGCUGUCCUCUCUCCAUCUGUCCACGUCUGUAUGCCGCUCGUAGCCACAGUUGCUUCGUGGCACUGACACGUAAUUUAAAACAAAUUGCUAAUUUUCUGGCAAUAAAACUGCAGUGCAAAUUCUGUUGUAACUGUUCUGACGAUAUAGCACCCAUUGUCCUAAAAGAACAUACAGCCUCGAGAUCAUGGCCGUCAUUAUAAAGUUUAGCAUUAUUUUGACUUAUAUACUUAUUUCUAGGAUGAAACAACAUUGUGUCGUUUUCUUAAAAUUAAGCCUUAAGCAGUUACAAGCUGACCACAUUUUUAAGCUUUUUAAAAGAGUGUGGUUUGGCAGUCUCUGAAGCUCUAUAUCUGAUGGCCCAGAUAAAAGUUGUGUAGUGUCAUCUGCAUAUAUGAUAAAGUUUAAUUUUAGUGUGCUAGAUUCUAUUGGAGAAAUAUUUACGAUGUCAAUUAUGUUCAAGUUGAAAAGUAAAGAUCCUGAAAUACUGCCCUGGGGAACACCUGGUUCCACACAGGCAAAAUCAGAUGUAACAUUAUCUAUAACGACAGCUUGCUCUGUGAAUGAUAAAUAAGUCCCAUUAGGUCUAGUGCAUCUCUGCAAAUUCCAUACCAUUCUAAUUUGUUGGUCAAUAUUUGAUAGUUUAAGCUAUCAUUCUUUGUGGUUAUCUAUGUAGUUUGCUGAUGUUAGGCACUUUUUUUUAAUAUAAUGCUUUGUAAUUUCGUUCAGUCUUGAUAGAGCUGUCUCUGUAGACUUAUUCUUUUGAAGGCCAAACUGCUGGUUAGUUACUAUUUGAUGUUUAUCUAAAAAUUUCUGCAGUCUGGUGUGAAUAAGCCUCUCAAGACCUUUUGAAAAUACAGGAACAAUUGAUAUUCGUCUAUAAUUUUCGCCAGGCCGCGGCACCAUAAUGAAGACUUCUAAUCUUCCACUGGUCUAUGUACAGGUCUUACCGUUCUACCAUGCUCAAGUCAGCUUGUCACUACCAGCUGCACAAGAACUUUUUCUGCUACCAGUUGAAUAGGCAUCUUCUAUGUUGGCUGGGCAUGAGUCGUGGAUCCUGUUUCCCGCUUUAUAUAUGCAAACCACAUGGGAUUCUACGUCAUCUACAGUAGCGUCACUCUUCGUUGCUAAGCCCGCGAAUUUUGACGCAUAGAGUAGUGGGAUAGGCCGCCGCACCAUAAUGAAGAUUUCUAAUGUUCCACUGAUCUACGUACAGGUUUUGUCCCUCAAGCAGCCCUUCCAACGCGGGAAAUCUGUCUUCUCUCUUACCAGAAGCCUCCGCUAUCCUCUUCCUUUGUCUCUAUCAUGGGCACUAAGUGUGCUGGUCUUUGGUUUAAUGAAGUCUUCGUCUCUACAGAAGCAGGUCUGCACAGAAAUUAAAAUUUCUUAGGCUUGUAAAUUUAUUCCAUUAUUUAGUGUAUAUACAUAUAUGAUGUGUGAAUAGUGCACCAACAAAAUUUUCGCUAAGCCCUCCACAUUCUUGGAAAUUCCUGUAACGGUUUUCUGUUCGGUGACAAACGUAUCCAACGUCUUUGAUCAUAGUAACAAAUUUUCGGUACCACAGUUGCUCACACACAGUCUACUUUACUCCAUCUACUGUGCAGUCUGAUUUUCAUGCCAGGCAGGGAGUGCCAUAGCCAUAGCAUAGUUUCCCCAGAUUGUGUUCUGUAUGUGCAUGUAUGUGAUAACAUCCUGGCUACCUGCAGCAAUUGGCUCUGUGCAACAGACAAAAGCACCACUGCUGCUGUCUUUGAGGAGCAGUACGUGUUGCUCCUUCGUUUUAAGUUUGCAUUUUUCUUUCCUUCCCAUUUCACUCUGAACCAUGCUCUGAACUACCCAGCCACGGGCUCUGCAGUCUGCAUCACUUGUUCUGGAUUCAACUGUGUUUUGUUCAAGCGAACAUUUAUUUAUUUAUUCUAUGGAACGAAUGUGUGAAUUAUUCAUACUGUUUGGCACAAACAACUACAGAUUUUUGUAGCACGCUAUCGUAUGUCAUCCGUUUAGAUUUGUUGUCAUAUCUUCUCUGUUUGAGUGAUGUAGUAAAACACUUGUAGUUCAUGGCUUACAUUUCGCUGAGCCUAAGCAGGAAAUAUCCAAUCAUGGUGCAACCAGCCUCUACCAAACAGUUUCAAGCUUUGUUUCAGGGCUCUUUCUUCUUCUGUUUUUCGAGAUGUCUGUGUUUCGGGACUUGAGUUCAUAUAAUAGUGUCAUUUUUGGAACACAUAGAAUAGCAUCUUUUGCAUUACUUCUGUUGUCCUCAUGUUGAUACUAAAGGACAUGUCUUGCCUUCUUUCUUCCAUUGCCAACCCAGUUCCUGCUUUCCUGCUUUCUUUUUUUUUUCUUCUUCAGGGCCAAUGUUACCUACGGAAUACUUAUCACUGUCUUUCACAUUCAGUGUAACAUGCUUGCUUUUCCUAAUCUUGGUGCGUGUUUUUUCGUGUAUGUGUGUUAAUGUUUGUGUGUCACCUGCUGGCUGUGUCCUCAUUGCUAUUCCUGAAAAGUACACAGGCAUGAGGCAGGCAUGCUAUGAUGUUGUCUGUGUCUCCAAUACUAUAUCUCAGGGCUGCUUCUGAACCAGCCAGGCUUCCUGCAUUGUUUGCUGUAUAUAUUUGUCACUAUCAGUGAAUGCUGCACAAAAAUCAAGAAUGCUUGCUUAGGUUUUGGAAUCUACCAUGCAGUGAGGAUCUCUUCCCCGGUGGGUUUCCUUACUGUGGGAACAAGCUGCCACCGCUCCAUUUUACCAGCAUUGGGGUGUUCAGCCAGUCACAGCGUGGUGUGCUCAUGAUCACUGAUAUGAUAUUUGACAUCGUUAUCAGGUAUAGCUACUGUGUCAUUAUCAGGCUGUGGGGUAUUCUCUUCUACAGAGUGUCUUGUCUGUCGUGAAAUGUUGUCUUGAACUUAUUCCAAAAUAUGUUUACAUUAAAUUUUGUUAUUUCAGACUUUA
This is a long non-coding RNA of Ornithodoros turicata, 4376 nucleotides long. RefSeq lists it as uncharacterized. Lineage: Eukaryota; Metazoa; Arthropoda; Arachnida; Ixodida; Argasidae. The transcript is spliced from 4 exons. The record is from RefSeq and is a predicted model, not a curated record.